AGGAUAAACGCUGGCGGCGUGCCUAACACAUGCAAGUCGAACGUCCUACGCAAGUAGGGAGUGGCGGACGGGUGAGUAACACGUGGGCAAUCUACCUUUCGGUGAGGAAUACCGGCGAGAAAUCGCCGACAAUACCGCAUACGCUUCGCAAGAAGCAAAGUCGCAAGACGCCGGAGGAGGAGCCUGCGCCCGAUUAGCUGGUUGGUGGAGUAAUGGUCUACCAAGGCGACGAUCGGUAGC
Molecule: ribosomal RNA, 240 nt
Filed under: uncultured bacterium
Lineage: Bacteria
Description: partial small subunit ribosomal RNA
Rfam family: Bacterial small subunit ribosomal RNA
Source: RNAcentral